CAAAACUAGCCGCAACAAAAACCUAAGUUGUGGUUUAGAAAAAUGAACAGUGUCGUACACAAUAUGAUAUGUCGCUAGACAACACCGCAUGUUCGGUUGAAUUGUUAUCAUUGUGUAGCAGGUAACGGCUAGUGAAUGUGUAGAGAAAUCUGCCCGAAGAGCGAAUCACGUGACAUUUGUGUUGCGUGUGAAUUCGUGUUCACUCUCAGUCAGUUGUGGGCAGUCGUUGGCGGAUAAAGGAGGACAAAGAACGAACACAGGAAGGAAGCUUGGGAGCCAGAGAGACUGUAUUCCCAUGGAAAUGUGAAAUGGUGCUAGUCCUUUAGUAGGGACACUGAGGGAGCCAAACACAGUGCAAGUCCUUCUGUAUGUUCCCUGCCUUCAAUCUUCUAGACCUAGCUCUACUGCCGGUGUCUUCUGUUCAGAAGUAUAUUCUCUUUAAGUUUUGGCGCAGACAGUGUUUGGAGAGACUGGCAAAAAAAGACUGAUAAACAAAAAUUAUAACAACAACAGUUAAGCAACAACAGACCAGCUAACUCAGACGCUGAACUGCCAUUAGCUGCUGGAAAUGUUGGACAGAGUUAGCAUUGAAUAAAUUCCGGCUGGAUCUUGUCUGGAGCUUUCUGGAGUUCAUUUAAACUACAUCUGUACAGUCAACACUAUAAAUCAGUCUGGUGAGUCUGUGAUUGGUCAUCUACACCAAGAAAUGAGGAGACUUCUUUGUUCUGAUGUCUGCCAUCACUUCAAUCUACUGUCCUGAGAAUCACCAUGGCGAUGACCUAGGUGUCAGAACAAAAACCAGAACAUACCUUAUUGAAAACCUAGACAUUCUCAUUCUUCCAAUCUUUUGUAGGGUUCAUGGAGGUCAUAGCCAACAUAAUACAGAUGCCCCUGUUCUAAGAUUCAUUCCUGCAAACCAAGACCAAACUGAUGGAUAAAGUAUCGGCUAAUUCAUUUGUGUCCCUUGCUUGAAGCUGCUUCCCAUGGAAUUUUUUCACGAAAUCAUUGACUGUCAACGUGGCAUGAAGACGGAAUGUACUGAUCAGAACGAGUUUCUCGCUGUUUUCUGGCAGCCAAUGGAAGAGCCGAGAAUACUAGUGCGAGUCAAGUGUUGAAUUUUCCACAAAAUAGCGAGUCAAGUCUUGAAUUUUCCACAAAAUAGCACAGAUUCCGAGCAUUGUUUCUCUCUGGUCAGAAAAAAAAAUCAGAGAAAUAACUUGUCAAUGAUAUAUUCCUGUCUGUUAGUAAUGAUUGAUCCCAGACUGAAUGCUACCAUGGGUCUGCUGGCAAGCUGGAAAGAUACAAAGAUAAAGAUAAUUUAUUAAACUUACUGAACAGGACAUUGGAGAAUAUUCAGUUGUGAAAGUGAAAUAGACAUUAAAAAUAUUAAGAUCAAGUGCAAAUUUGAUGGUUCGUGAUUGACAUUAACACUUACUGAAUGUAACAUUAAAGGAUGUUCAAGUGUGACAGUGAAAUAGGCAUUAAACAUUAAAGAUCAAGUUGUGGUUUAAGAUAAAAUACUGAAAAGAUCAACACCAAGAUGUUCACAAUAAUGUUACAAUUUAUUUUAUGGCAUUUAGAACCUUAGCAUUAAUAUGAAUUUUGAUAUUGUAGAGAUAGACCCUAACAUUUUCAUUGAUAGAAAUACAUUAAAGUCUAGAAAUUGAUUUCCAAGUCAUUGAAAUUAACAAAAAUGAUUUCACAAAUGUGCAAUGUAUGAUAGUUUUGCUAAUAUCAAUAACAGAAAUUUUAAUAUUUAAUUCAAAGUUGUGAUCCGCAAAGAAUUUCAACUCUUGCCUUGGUCUAGUACUUUAAAGCAGAGAUAUCUAUUAGUUUACUUCCCUUGCAAUUACACAAUAGAGUAGAAAACAAAAACAGUUUAGGACACAAUAUGAUACAUUUUUGCAUAACAAAAUCGUUCAGGAUUUAUUAAUAUGUGUUUGAUUUACCCCUGAAUCACUGGUUCCUAUGAUUUUGUCAACUUAUGGUAAAAAUUAACAUUUAACAAGCUGAUAUUAUAAUGAAAUACCAGUAAGUAUUUUAUAGUGCAGAUAAUACAGUUUUGCUUGUAUCAAAAUGUCACAAUAGAAGCACUUUUGUAAUACAGCACACCUGGUAGGAUUAGUAAAGGUGCAAUUAUAUUGAUCUCUUUUUCCUAUGCCUAGAUAUUGUACUUACCAACGUUCUUUAUCUUUGCUCCAUCACGCUCACAUGAGACAUUGUAAUUGACCAGAUCCUUGUUAGUUAGCUUUCAGUGUCUUCUAACAAUUUUGGCAUAAACACUGCUGUAACAUCAGUUAGGUGAUCAAUGGUCAAUGGCAAAAUAACACCAGUUGGCUCAUUUUCAACUCUGUAUGUACGGUCACAACAAAGGCACUCAAAACCAAGGCAGUCUUUGUAUUAAAAUUUGAAGUGUU
Long non-coding RNA from Mercenaria mercenaria, 2417 nucleotides. RefSeq lists it as uncharacterized. The transcript is spliced from 6 exons. The record is from RefSeq and is a predicted model, not a curated record. Lineage: Eukaryota; Metazoa; Mollusca; Bivalvia; Venerida; Veneridae.